Molecule: long non-coding RNA, 2768 nt
Organism: Brassica napus (rape)
Lineage: Eukaryota; Viridiplantae; Streptophyta; Magnoliopsida; Brassicales; Brassicaceae
Exons: 2
Source: RefSeq, a predicted model, not a curated record
AAUCGAUACUUUAGGUUCCACGAAGCUGAUGUUGUUCAUUGAAGCUGCUAGUCUUCCUUGUCUGGGACCUUGGCACUUGUUGUUUGGGUCUUCAGAGUUACACUUGUUUACAUUUAUCCCAAUCGUGAUGAAGAGACGAGCAUCGACAUCGACAUCUUUUGGAACGUCAACCUUGUUUAGACUUCUGAGCCCAUCCAUGACAGUCUUAACAGCAAUGUUAUCAUUGAAAACAGACUCGUACGGACCCAUGGCGAUGGAGUAUCUCCCAAUGGGUUGAUCAGCUGUGAGGAGAACGUUCAUUGUCUGUCCAGGCACAAGCAUCACACGCUCUGUUGUGAAAGGUUUGGUGUACUCGCCGUCUACUUCCACUAUGGUUAACCUGUGAUUGGCUAUGGUGAAGAAGCUCUCCAUGUUGAUGCCAGCGUUUAUCAGCCUUAGCAGGUAUGUCUUCCUUGGCACUAUCUCAAGUUCAUAAACAUCUGAAAUAUAAAGAUAUUAAAACAAGGAUCAAUAAUCAUAUUCAGUCUCAUAUGUAUUACCUUUAGAGGAGCAAUUGUAGUUAGGUCCUGGCUGACCAUUAAUUGUGAAUGCAUCUGCUGGAGGAGGAGGUCCUCCACUCUCCAGUACAUGUUUUUCAAGCUCCACCACGUUCUUAAGCCAAUAUUCUCCUAGAUUAUGACAAACAACUCAGUAAAGGCAACUAGUGAAAGAGAAUAGCUUUAUAGAUUACCUAGGAGAAUUGUAUGCUCUUUGAAGGGUUUCUUGAAUGGGUAAGGAACAUUAGCUUUAGGAUAUACAAUAAGCGGACCGUAUACAGUAGCUCUAAGCCAAGAAAAGUGUGCAUGCCAAAAGAAUGUGCCCUUUUGUUGCGUCACUGUGAAGUUGUAUGUGAAUCUCUGUCCGCUCUGAAUUGGACAUUGUGUGAUGUAAGAUGGACCAUCGUACCAACAAGAUAGCUUUUGCUUAAUACCAUGCCUGUAUAUAACAGAAACAACCCUUGUUAGUCUAAUUUUUCUUCUAAGCUUUGUGUACAUAUGUAGAUGCAUACCAAUGAAUUGUGGCAUUAUAUGGGGUCAUGUUGAUAACAUUAACGACAAUGUUGUCAUCUUCUUGAGCGGUUAUCGCAAGGCCAGGGAACUUUCCGUUGAUUGUCACAAUCUCUUUUGUCUGGCACAGCCUGGUGAGUCUCUUUGUUUGUACCUGUUAGAAAUUAGAACUCUGUUUAGUAGGAAUAAUAAAAACAGAGAAACAAGUUCAUACACACAUAAAUUUGAAUAUUGUUGAUACUUGCCUUGAACUGGUAGAUUCUAGUUGCAGCAUUACACCUUCCAAUGUUCAUUACUUGAAGAAUGAACAAGCAAAAGCUAAGACGGAGCAAGGAGGAGACAGAGGAACUGGCCAUCUUUUAUUGACAAAAAAAAAAAGAGACAGGGAGAUAUAAGAGUGAAAGGUACUGAUUAAUGCACUUGGUUUAUAUAGUGUUCGAAGUCAAAAAAAAAAAGGAAACAUAAUAUAUAUACUUUGGAAAGAGAUUCAUGAUUUGGUAGAGCUGGGAAGAGGGACACUAGUGAUUAUAAGGUGUUGGGAAGGCGUGGCUUGCUUACUCGACCCCAGCGUGAGACUGAAGGCAACACACGGGUUACUCUUAAGUAGUUUAUUCUCUUUGAUUUUGUAUCAGUAAAAAAGCCUUAUACAUUACCAUGCAGGAUUCUCUACCAUACUUUGUGACAUGUAAGGGAUAUAAUACUGCUGAUUCAUCUGGACCAACCCAAGACUACAGAGCAGCUUCUUCUUCUUCUUCUUCAAGCUACCAUUUCUUUCGACCUGUCGUCAUUAUUCAUCAAACUCGGUGUAAACUGGUAAAUAUGAUUUUGAUUACUGUAUGAUUAUACAUACGAGUUUUAGGAUUAAGGUGAGGUGCAUGAUUUAGCAUCAUUAGAGAAUGUUAAUCAGUAGGGUCGUAUAUGGUUGGUUGUAUGGACAUUACACGAUGAUGUUGUUUAGAGCUUUUAGAGUGUGUUAAAAAAAAGAGGAAAGAGUAAGAAGGGAUCAAGUCCCUUGGUCGGUGUUUUGGAUGGACUUAAAUUCUUUAUUUGGUCGACUCAUCAUCAAAGUUCGUGCACGCCUUAGCUUGUCAAAAACUCAAUCUUAGACUGAAAACAUGAUGAUUAAUAUGAAUUUUGACCAAAUGAUGUUUUUACAUACUCGAAAGGUCAAAAACAUUAAUGCGUUACUUUUCAUCAAGAUCAUCUUUUAUAAUCUUUUGACUGAUACACAUUGUUGAGUUUUAACAUAUUCUUACCAACUCGUACAUAUAUACACACGAAAAACCGAUGUGAUCCACCCUUUCGUAUUAUAUUGUUUUAUCAAACAAACCGUGAUAAUAUACAUUUUUACUAUAAUCAAGAUUCACAUAUCAACAGGUCUACCUCACAAUACACAUUAAGAACACGGGCUCAUCUAAGACAUGGGCCAGGCCCAUCCGAGACAGCAACCUUCUGGAACACAAAGAGUGUUCAAUGAUCCUGGUUGGUGACAUAAGUGUGUCCGAAUGGAUUUAUAACUUGUGGUGGUGACGGCACUGUGAAGUUCGUCAGCCUCAGAGAUUCCUAACUUCUUCUUUUUUUGAGCAACUCGGAUAUUCCUAACUAUUACUGCCGAGAAGACGUGCUUAGCCUUCAAGGUUUUUAUUGAAUACGCGAUUUCUUCUCAAAUGACAUAUUCAUAUUCGUGAUUUUUUUGUAAUGUAAAGUUUUUUUUGGUGUGUA